RNAcentral lists this ribosomal RNA (466 nucleotides) under Fletcherodrilus unicus. RNAcentral's name for it is "partial 16S ribosomal RNA". It matches the Rfam family "Bacterial large subunit ribosomal RNA", at positions 1842 to 2596 of the family's 2925-position model. Lineage: Eukaryota; Metazoa; Annelida; Clitellata; Crassiclitellata; Megascolecidae. The record is from RNAcentral.
ACAAUAUGUGGUAAGUCCUGCCCAGUGAAUAAAACUUCAACGGCCGCGGUAUCUUAACCGUGCAAAGGUAGCAUAAUCAUUUGCCUAUUAAUUGUAGGCUAGAAUGAACGGAUAAACGAAAUAAAAACUGUCUCAAUUAGAUACCUAAAAAUUAUUAUUUACAUGAAGAAAUGUAAAUAUUUACGAAGGACAAGAAGACCCUAUAGAGCUUUAUUUAAAUAUAUCACACAGGUAUAAAAAAUUCGGUUGGGGCGACCUUGGGACUACUCAUCACCCAAAAAGAGACAGAUUAAUUAAUCUACUAAAUGACCCUUACUAAGAGCACAAAAACAAGCUACCUUAGGGAUAACAGGCUAAUCCCACUAUAGAGUCCAUAUCAACAGUGGGGGUUGGCACCUCGAUGUUGGCUUAGGGUAUCAAUAUAGCGCAAGAGCUAUAUAAAGAUGGUUUGUUCCACCAAUAUCCC